AGUGAACGCUGGCGGUAGGCCUAACACAUGCAAGUCGAACGGCAGCACAGUAAGAGCUUGCUCUUACGGGUGGCGAGUGGCGGACGGGUGAGGAAAACAUCGGAACCUACUUUUUCGUGGGGGUUAACGUAGGGAAACUUACGCCAAUACCGCAUACGACCUACGGGGGAAAGCAGGGGAUCUUCGGACCUUGCGCGAUUGAAUGAGCCGAUGUCGGAUUAGCUAGUUGGCGGGGUAAAGGCCCACCAAGGCGCCGAUCCGUAGCUGGUCUGAGAGGAUGAUCAGCCACACUGGAACUGAGACACGGUCCAGACUCCUACGGGAGGCAGCAGUGGGGAAUAUUGGACAAUGGGCGCAAGCCUGAUCCAGCCAUACCGCGUGGGUGAAGAAGGCCUUCGGGUUGUAAAGCCCUUUUGUUGGGAAAGAAAAGCAGCAGGUUAAUACCCCGCUGUUCUGACGGUACCCAAAGAAUAAGCACCGGCUAACUUCGUG
Molecule: ribosomal RNA, 492 nt
Filed under: uncultured bacterium
Lineage: Bacteria
Description: partial 16S ribosomal RNA
Rfam family: Bacterial small subunit ribosomal RNA
Source: RNAcentral